This 343-nucleotide ribosomal RNA is filed under the name Bradysia distincta. Its description in RNAcentral is "partial 16S ribosomal RNA". Lineage: Eukaryota; Metazoa; Arthropoda; Insecta; Diptera; Sciaridae. The record is from RNAcentral.
AAAAUCUUUUAUUAAUAAGAACUUAAAAAAAAAUUACGCUGUUAUCCCUAAGGUAAUUUAAUUUUUUAAUCAAUAAAAUUGGAUCAAAUAUAAUAUAAUUUAUAUAUUAAUAUUUUAAAUAAAUAAAAGUUAAUUAAAUUUUACUAUCACCCCAAUAAAAUAAAUUUAAAUAUAAUAAUUUAAAUAAACCUUUAUAUUAAUAUAAAUAUAUUAUUAAACUCUAUAGGGUCUUCUCGUCUUUUAAAUUUAUUUUAGCCUUUUAACUAAAAAGUAAAAUUCAAUAUUUUUAAAAAAAAAAGUUAAUUUCUCAUUCAACCAUUCAUACAAGUUUUCAAUUAAAAAA